RNAcentral lists this ribosomal RNA (1915 nucleotides) under Salinivibrio kushneri. Its description in RNAcentral is "bacterial SSU rRNA". It matches the Rfam family "Bacterial small subunit ribosomal RNA". Lineage: Bacteria; Pseudomonadati; Pseudomonadota; Gammaproteobacteria; Vibrionales; Vibrionaceae. The record is from RNAcentral.
AAUUGAAGAGUUUGAUCAUGGCUCAGAUUGAACGCUGGCGGCAGGCCUAACACAUGCAAGUCGAGCGGAAACGGCAGCAUUGAAGCUUCGGUGGAUUUGCUGGACGUCGAGCGGCGGACGGGUGAGUAACGGCUGGGAACCUGCCCUGACGMGGGGGAUAACCGUUGGAAACGACGGCUAAUACCGCAUAAUGUCUUAGUUCAUUACGAGCUGGGACCAAAGGUGGCCUMUACAUGUAAGCUAUCGCGUUGGGAUGGGCCCAGUUAGGAUUAGCUAGUUGGUAAGGUAAUGGCUUACCAAGGCAACGAUCCUUAGCUGGUUUGAGAGGAUGAUCAGCCACACUGGGACUGAGACACGGCCCAGACUCCUACGGGAGGCAGCAGUGGGGAAUAUUGCACAAUGGGGGAGACCCUGAUGCAGCCAUGCCGCGUGUGUGAAGAAGGCCUUCGGGUUGUAAAGCACUUUCAGCAGUGAGGAAGGUGGUGUACUUAAUAAGUGNGGGGGAUAACCGUUGGAAACGACGGCUAAUACCGCAUAAUGUCUYAGUUCAUUACGAKCUGGGACCAAAGGUGGCCUCUACAUGUAAGCUAUCGCGUUGGGAUGGGCCCAGUUAGGAUUAGCUAGUUGGUAAGGUAAUGGCUUACCAAGGCGACGAUCCUUAGCUGGUUUGAGAGGAUGAUCAGCCACACUGGGACUGAGACACGGCCCAGACUCCUACGGGAGGCAGCAGUGGGGAAUAUUGCACAAUGGGGGAGACCCUGAUGCAGCCAUGCCGCGUGUGUGAAGAAGGCCUUCGGGUUGUAAAGCACUUUCAGCAGUGAGGAAGGUGGUGUACUUAAUAAGUGCAUGGCUUGACGUUAGCUGCAGAAGAAGCACCGGCUAACUCCGUGCCAGCAGCCGCGGUAAUACGGAGGGUGCGAGCGUUAAUCGGAAUUACUGGGCGUAAAGCGCAUGCAGGCGGUUUGUUAAGUCAGAUGUGAAAGCCCGGGGCUCAACCUCGGAACCGCAUUUGAAACUGGCAGGCUAGAGUCUUGUAGAGGGGGGUAGAAUUUCAGGUGUAGCGGUGAAAUGCGUAGAGAUCUGAAGGAAUACCAGUGGCGAAGGCGGCCCCCUGGACAAAGACUGACGCUCAGAUGCGAAAGCGUGGGUAGCAAACAGGAUUAGAUACCCUGGUAGUCCACGCCGUAAACGCUGUCUACUUGGAGGUUGAGGUUUAGACUUUGGCUUUCGGCGCUAACGCAUUAAGUAGACCGCCUGGGGAGUACGGCCGCAAGGUUAAAACUCAAAUGAAUUGACGGGGGCCCGCACAAGCGGUGGAGCAUGUGGUUUAAUUCGAUGCAACGCGAAGAACCUUACCUACUCUUGACAUCCAGCGAAUCCUUUAGAGAUAGAGGAGUGCCUUCGGGAGCGCUGAGACAGGUGCUGCAUGGCUGUCGUCAGCUCGUGUUGUGAAAUGUUGGGUUAAGUCCCGCAACGAGCGCAACCCUUAUCCUUGUUUGCCAGCACRUAAUGGUGGGAACUCCAGGGAGACUGCCGGUGAUAAACCGGAGGAAGGUGGGGACGACGUCAAGUCAUCAUGGCCCUUACGAGUAGGGCUACACACGUGCUACAAUGGCAGAUACAGAGGGCAGCGAAGCUGCGAAGUGGAGCGAAUCCCUUAAAGUCUGUCGUAGUCCGGAUUGGAGUCUGCAACUCGACUCCAUGAAGUCGGAAUCGCUAGUAAUCGUGGAUCAGAAUGCCACGGUGAAUACGUUCCCGGGCCUUGUACACACCGCCCGUCACACCAUGGGAGUGGGCUGCACCAGAAGUAGAUAGCUUAACCUUCGGGAGGGCGUUUACCACGGUGUGGUUCAUGACUGGGGUGAAGUCGUAACAAGGUAGCCCUAGGGGAACCUGGGGCUGGAUCACCUCCUUA